RNAcentral lists this ribosomal RNA (353 nucleotides) under uncultured Geobacillus sp. RNAcentral's name for it is "bacterial SSU rRNA". It matches the Rfam family "Bacterial small subunit ribosomal RNA", at positions 1027 to 1382 of the family's 1533-position model. Lineage: Bacteria; Bacillati; Bacillota; Bacilli; Caryophanales; Anoxybacillaceae. The record is from RNAcentral.
GAGGGUGACAGGUGGUGCAUGGUUGUCGUCAGCUCGUGUCGUGAGAUGUUGGGUUAAGUCCCGCAACGAGCGCAACCCUCGCCUCUAGUUGCCAGCAUUCGGUUGGGCACUCUAGAGGGACUGCCGGCGACAAGUCGGAGGAAGGUGGGGAUGACGUCAAAUCAUCAUGCCCCUUAUGACCUGGGCUACACACGUGCUACAAUGGGCGGUACAAAGGGCUGCGAACCCGCGAGGGGAGCGAAUCCCAAAAAGCCGCUCUCAGUUCGGAUUGCAGGCUGCAACUCGCCUGCAUGAAGCCGGAAUCGCUAGUAAUCGCGGAUCAGCAUGCCGCGGUGAAUACGUUCCCGGGCCUU